AAGGUACUAGUAAAAUGCUAUAACAUUUCCUUGUCAAGGAAAAAUCGCAAGUUGAAGUCUUGCGUAUCUUA
Molecule: transfer RNA, 71 nt
Filed under: Nemipterus japonicus (Japanese threadfin bream)
Lineage: Eukaryota; Metazoa; Chordata; Actinopteri; Spariformes; Nemipteridae
Also listed under: 1 other name
Description: tRNA-Asp
Rfam family: tRNA
About the family: Transfer RNA (tRNA) molecules are approximately 80 nucleotides in length. Their secondary structure includes four short double-helical elements and three loops (D, anti-codon, and T loops). Further hydrogen bonds mediate the characteristic L-shaped molecular structure. tRNAs have two regions of fundamental functional importance: the anti-codon, which is responsible for specific mRNA codon recognition, and the 3' end, to which the tRNAs corresponding amino acid is attached (by aminoacyl-tRNA synthetases). tRNAs cope with the degeneracy of the genetic code in two manners: having more than one tRNA (with a specific anti-codon) for a particular amino acid; and 'wobble' base-pairing, i.e. permitting non-standard base-pairing at the 3rd anti-codon position.
Source: RNAcentral